AUGUUUGAGUGGGAGGGAGGCAGCCACUUCCUGUUGUUUGGACUUGGACUCGCACAUCAGAGCUCAUUGACAGGACGAGUUUUUGUAUGGACGGCUCACCGCUUCGCAUCACCGUGGUUCAGUUUCGCUGAAGGAGGAACCAAACUCGUCCUUGCGGGUGAGGUGCAUCGGCCCACCGUGACCCUCUUCCCUCCUUCCAAGGAGCAGCUGAAAACAGAAAAGGCCACAGCCGUGUGCGUGGCCAAAGGGCGCCCCGAAACCUGGACCUUGGACUGGAAGAUUGAUGGCGGCCCCGUUACCUCGGGGGUGUCGCACAGUUCCCCGGAAGAGGCGAAUGGGCUUUACAGCUGGACCAGCACCUUGAGCCUCUCAGCAGACCAGUGGCGCAAGGCCCAAUCAGUGAGCUGCGAGGCCAGCCUAACCGGGCAAACGCCCGUCACGCAAACCCUGCCCAACCCAGGACAAUGCUCAGAGUAGAGCCUGAACCCGUGUCUGUGUCUUUGCAACGUUGAAGCAUUGUGAAAUAAAAUGUCUGAGUAUCACCA
Syngnathus acus (greater pipefish) is the source of this 545-nucleotide non-coding RNA. The record is from the annotation of a RefSeq genome assembly. NCBI's taxonomy places the organism in Eukaryota, Metazoa, Chordata, Actinopteri, Syngnathiformes, Syngnathidae.